Molecule: ribosomal RNA, 512 nt
Filed under: Candida albicans
Lineage: Eukaryota; Fungi; Ascomycota; Pichiomycetes; Serinales; Debaryomycetaceae
Description: eukaryotic LSU rRNA
Rfam family: 5.8S ribosomal RNA (bases 144-297)
Source: RNAcentral
GGGUUCUGAAUGCUUAUUGCACCACAUGUGUUUUUCUUUGAAACAAACUUGCUUUGGCGGUGGGCCCAGCCUGCCGCCAGAGGUCUAAACUUACAACCAAUUUUUUAUCAACUUGUCACACCAGAUUAUUACUUAAUAGUCAAAACUUUCAACAACGGAUCUCUUGGUUCUCGCAUCGAUGAAGAACGCAGCGAAAUGCGAUACGUAAUAUGAAUUGCAGAUAUUCGUGAAUCAUCGAAUCUUUGAACGCACAUUGCGCCCUCUGGUAUUCCGGAGGGCAUGCCUGUUUGAGCGUCGUUUCUCCCUCAAACCGCUGGGUUUGGUGUUGAGCAAUACGACUUGGGUUUGCUUGAAAGACGGUAGUGGUAAGGCGGGAUCGCUUUGACAAUGGCUUAGGUCUAACCAAAAACAUUGCUUGCGGCGGUAACGUCCACCACGUAUAUCUUCAAACUUUGACCUCAAAUCAGGUAGGACUACCCGCUGAACUUAAGCAUAUCAAAAGCCCGGAGGAA